UGGGGAAUUUUGGACAAUGGGGGAAACCCUGAUCCAGCCAUCCCGCGUGUGCGAUGAAGGCCUUCGGGUUGUAAAGCACUUUUGGCAGGAAAGAAACGUCGCGGGUUAAUACCCCGCGGAACUGACGGUACCUGCAGAAUAAGCACCGGCUAACUACGUGCCAGCAGCCGCGGUAAUACGUAAGGUGCAAGCGUUAAUCGGAAUUACUGGGCGUAAAGCGUGCGCAGGCGGUUCGGAAAGAAAGAUGUGAAAUCCCAGAGCUUAACUUUGGAACUGCAUUUUUAACUACCGGGCUAGAGUGUGUCAGAGGGAGGUGGAAUUCCGCGUGUAGCAGUGAAAUGCGUAGAUAUGCGGAGGAACACCGAUGGCGAAGGCAGCCUCCUGGGAUAACACUGACGCUCAUGCACGAAAGCGUGGGGAGCAAACAGGAUUAGAUACCCUGGUAGUCCACGCCCUAAACGAUGUCAACUAGCUGUUGGGGUCUUCGGACCUUGGUAGCGCAGCUAACGCGUGAAGUUGACCGCCUGGGGAGUACGGUCGCAAGAUUAAAACUCAAAGGAA
RNAcentral lists this ribosomal RNA (561 nucleotides) under uncultured bacterium. RNAcentral's name for it is "partial 16S ribosomal RNA". It matches the Rfam family "Bacterial small subunit ribosomal RNA", at positions 355 to 909 of the family's 1533-position model. The record is from RNAcentral.